Molecule: long non-coding RNA, 1914 nt
Organism: Callorhinus ursinus (northern fur seal)
Lineage: Eukaryota; Metazoa; Chordata; Mammalia; Carnivora; Otariidae
Source: RefSeq, a predicted model, not a curated record
AGCUUGCUCAUUUGGCCAGGUGGUCUGCAUGCACAUCUGCUCAGAGGUGGACACGAGGCAGUCACUUCAUUGCUUGGAAGGGAGUGAAGAAAGAACUAAGACCUUUCUGAUGGUUAAGAUUGUAAACCUGUGGGUGCUCUUGGAAGCUGUGGAGAAAGAGAGGCUAUACAAAUGGAAAUGAAUCCCUCUCCCACCCCCAUAUGUAAUGCCUGGAAGACAAACUAGAGAGGAAGACAAUUUUAGGAGCUUAAAGGACAUUUGUUCAUCAUAUGCAUUUCCCAGGAUUUCAGAUAACACUAGAAAAUUUCCAGUCUCCUCCCAAGGGCAGGGAUGAAGGCCUGCAUGAAGAUAUACAUGGUUAGGGGUCCUAGGACAAAAGAUGUUCUGGUAAAGGAGAGAAAGACCUGUGUAGGAGGAGGCAUCCUCAUUGUUUUCAGCUUUUCUAAGAUUGGAAAGGUGUGUACCUCAGCAGUGGCUACUGUUUGAAGAUGUCUGUGAUCUUCAGGAUGGACUCAAUGGGUGGAAGUCAAAGAGGACAAUUGUUUUGUUUGUGUCUACCCAGUAGCACUGCAACACCUUUCCUGUAUUUUGUAAAUUUCUGCCACUUUUAGAUCUUGCCCCUGAAGGUAGAAGGCAAGUCUUGUGUUCCUAGAUCUCGCCUUCCCAGUCCAUCUUACAGCUGGUGCCCAGUUACCCAGGCUCUGUGUGACAGGUUUCUUCUGUUUGUCCCCCCAGAUCCACUUUCUACCCUUCUCUACCUGCCUUGCCCCCCAGGAGGCUGACCUGCGUGGACCAUAUGACCAAGAUUUCCCUGCCUCUGGCUUCUGGUUGGGUUUAGCCAAUGGGAGGCAUGAAGAUAUUGGAGAGAGGAAGUAGUAGAGAGCAGGGGAGCACCGAUUCCCCCAGCUCCAUCGAUGCCAGGGAAGUAUUCUAACUGUUCCAGGAAUAGACAGUGGCAAUGUCAGAGAGUCGUGGACAUAACUGAUGACCUUGCCAACUUGGUGGGCAAUACAGAUGAGAAACUUCAUCCUGAAAGCAGGUCUGUGAAUAUUGUGGACAGCAAGUCAACGUCUUGUGGGAUGACAAUGGUGAUUUUAUUGCUCUUUGUGGCUGUUGUGAUCAUUGCAGUCUGGCCUACCGACUAGGGGUGAUUAAAGGACCACCAGCCAUGAAACUGCCAGUGAAGGAAAAAAAGCUCAGCACCCUUUUGAUACAUGAAAGCUGCUCUCAAUAAAUUCCCUCAAAGCUCUGAAAUGAAACAAAAGGAGACAAAACAAAAAACUGUUUACUAUCUCUACUGGCUAUUCCAGGAAUAGCUCCUUCCCCUUGGCCCUUCAGAUGUAGGUGCAGUAAUAGUUUCCCCCUUGGGAUAGUCCUUGGGUGCAUCACUAUCCCUUCCCACAUCAAGAUAAAUUGUCCUCCUAAUAAAAACUCCGAAAUUAUCCUUUCGAUUAUGCCAUCUCUUUCCUGCCUAGACCCCCCACUGAUUCCGUUCUGCCCAUCAAACCUGAUUUUGCCAAACUUUGACCCAAAGCUGGUGACAGGAGAGUGUCAGGAUGGAGAGACAGAUGACUUUUUGAGUCAGCUUGGCUGAGCCAUGGUACCCAGAUAAUUGGUCACACAUUAUUCUGGAGUUUCUGUGAGGUUUUAUUUUGUUUUUGGUAUUUUUUGGAUGAGAUUAACAUUUAAAUUAGCAGGCUUUGAAUCAAGCAGAUUUUUCUCUCCAGUAUGGGCCUCAUCCAAUCAGUUAAAGGCCUGAAUAGAAUGAGAGACUAACCUCCCCAAAGUGAGAGGGAAUUCUGCUAGCAGUCUGCCUUUGGACUUGCAUUGCAACUCUUCCCUUAAAGCUUACCCCAUCCGAUAUUGGACUUAUCAAGACUCAUCGCUUCUCGGCCUUUUGGCUAAGAUCAAGUG